Molecule: ribosomal RNA, 220 nt
Filed under: Escherichia coli
Lineage: Bacteria; Pseudomonadati; Pseudomonadota; Gammaproteobacteria; Enterobacterales; Enterobacteriaceae
Description: partial 16S ribosomal RNA
Rfam family: Bacterial small subunit ribosomal RNA
Source: RNAcentral
CCCAGAUGGGAUUAGCUAGUAGGUGGGGUAACGGCUCACCUAGGCGACGAUCCCUAGCUGGUCUGAGAGGAUGACCAGCCACACUGGAACUGAGACACGGUCCAGACUCCUACGGGAGGCAGCAGUGGGGAAUAUUGCACAAUGGGCGCAAGCCUGAUGCAGCCAUGCCGCGUGUAUGAAGAAGGCCUUCGGGUUGUAAAGUACUUUCAGCGGGGAGGAA